RNAcentral lists this ribosomal RNA (375 nucleotides) under uncultured organism. RNAcentral describes it as "partial 16S ribosomal RNA". It matches the Rfam family "Bacterial small subunit ribosomal RNA", at positions 527 to 896 of the family's 1533-position model. The record is from RNAcentral.
GUAGGUGGCAAGCGUUGUCCGGAAUUAUUGGGCGUAAAGCGCGCGCAGGCGGUUCUUUAAGUCUGAUGUGAAAGCCCACGGCUCAACCGUGGAGGGUCAUUGGAAACUGGGGGACUUGAGUACAGAAGAGGAAAGCGGAAUUCCAAGUGUAGCGGUGAAAUGCGUAGAGAUUUGGAGGAACACCAGUGGCGAAGGCGGCUUUCUGGUCUGUAACUGACGCUGAGGCGCGAAAGCGUGGGGAGCAAACAGGAUUAGAUACCCUGGUAGUCCACGCCGUAAACGAUGAGUGCUAAGUGUUAGGGGGUUUCCCGCCCCCCUUAGUGCUGCAGCUAACGCAUUAAGCACUCCGCCUGGGGGAGUACGGCCGCAAGGCUG